CCAAUAGCGUAUAUUAAAGUUGUUGCAGUUAAAAAGCUCGUAGUUGAAUUUCGGGAUCAGUACGCUGGUCGUGCCUUCGGUAUGAACUGGUGUCACUGGUUCCUCCCUUCUGAAGAACCGUCAUGCCAUUCAGUUGGUGUGGCGGGAAAUCAGGACUGUUACUUUGAAAAAAUUAGAGUGUUUAAAGCAGGCUCGCGCUUGAAUACAUUAGCAUGGAAUAAUGAAAUAGGACGUUUGACCCUAUUUUGUUGGUUUCUAGGAUCGACGUAAUGAUUAAUAGGGAUAGUUGGGGGCAUUAGUAUUCAAUUGUCAGAGGUGAAAUUCUUGGAUUUAUUGAAGACUAACUACUGCGAAAGCAUUUGCCAAGGAUGUUUUCAUUAAUCAAGAACGAAAGUUAGGGGAUCGAAGACGAUCAGAUACCGUCGUAGUCUUAACCAUAAACUAUGCCGACUAGGGAUCGGAUGAUGUUAAUUUUUUAAUGACUCAUUCGGCGCCUUACG
RNAcentral lists this ribosomal RNA (500 nucleotides) under uncultured Glomeromycotina. RNAcentral's name for it is "partial small subunit ribosomal RNA". It matches the Rfam family "Eukaryotic small subunit ribosomal RNA", at positions 591 to 1092 of the family's 1831-position model. Lineage: Eukaryota; Fungi; Glomeromycota. The record is from RNAcentral.